RNAcentral lists this ribosomal RNA (339 nucleotides) under uncultured soil bacterium. RNAcentral describes it as "bacterial SSU rRNA". It matches the Rfam family "Bacterial small subunit ribosomal RNA", at positions 26 to 367 of the family's 1533-position model. The record is from RNAcentral.
AGAUUGAACGCUGGCGGCAUGCCUUACACAUGCAAGUCGAACGGCAGCACGGGAGCAAUCCUGGUGGCGAGUGGCGAACGGGUGAGUAAUAUAUCGGAACGUGCCCAGUCGUGGGGGAUAACGUAGAGAAAUUUACGCUAAUACCGCAUACGAUCCAAGGAUGAAAGCGGGGGACCGUAAGGCCUCGCGCGACUGGAGCGGCUGAUAUCAGAUUAGCUUGUUGGUGAGGUAAAAGCUCACCAAGGCGACGAUCUGUAGCUGGUUUGAGAGAACGACCAGCCACACUGGGACUGAGACACGGCCCAGACUCCUACGGGAGGCAGCAGUGGGGAAUUUGGU